CCUACGGGAGGCAGCAGUGGGGAAUAUUGCACAAUGGGGGAAACCCUGAUGCAGCGACGCCGCGUGAGUGAAGAAGUAUUUCGGUACGUAAAGCUCUAUCAGCAGGGAAGGAAAUGACGGUACCUGACUAAGAAGCCCCGGCUAACUACGUGCCAGCAGCCGCGGUAAUACGUAGGGGGCAAGCGUUAUCCGGAUUUACUGGGUGUAAAGGGAGCGUAGACGGCAGCGCAAGUCUGGAGUGAAAUCCCAUGGCUUAACCAUGGAACUGCUUUGGAAACUGUGCAGCUAGAGUGCAGGAGAGGUAAGCGGAAUGCCUAGUGUAGCGGUGAAAUGCGUAGAUAUUAGGAGGAACACCAGUGGCGAAGGCGGCUUACUGGACUGUAACUGACGUUGAGGCUCGAAAGCGUGGGGAGCAAACAGGAUUAGAUACCCCUGUAGUC
RNAcentral lists this ribosomal RNA (440 nucleotides) under uncultured bacterium. Its description in RNAcentral is "partial 16S ribosomal RNA". It matches the Rfam family "Bacterial small subunit ribosomal RNA", at positions 338 to 795 of the family's 1533-position model. The record is from RNAcentral.